AGCGAACGCUGGCGGCAGGCUUAACACAUGCAAGUCGAGCGGGCACUUUCGGGUGUCAGCGGCGGACGGGUGAGUAACGCGUGGGAACGUGCCCUCUGGUUCGGAAUAACUCAGGGAAACUUGAGCUAAUACCGGAUACGCCCUUUUGGGGAAAGGCUUGCUGCCGGAGGAUCGGCCCGCGUCUGAUUAGCUAGUUGGUGAGGUAACGGCUCACCAAGGCGACGAUCAGUAGCUGGUCUGAGAGGAUGAUCAGCCACACUGGGACUGAGACACGGCCCAGGCUCCUACGGGAGGCAGCAGUGGGGAAUAUUGGACAAUGGGCGCAAGCCUGAUCCAGCCAUGCCGCGUGAGUGAUGAAGGCCUUAGGGUUGUAAAGCUCUUUUAUCCGGGACGAUAAUGACGGUACCGGAGGAAUAAGCCCCGGCUAACUUCGUG
Molecule: ribosomal RNA, 435 nt
Filed under: uncultured bacterium
Lineage: Bacteria
Description: partial 16S ribosomal RNA
Rfam family: Bacterial small subunit ribosomal RNA
Source: RNAcentral